AGUCAUUCAUUGCAUAAAAUUUGUAGGCAUCCAAAGACUAUCAUCCUUGAUCCUUGAAUUGUUUUUCUAGCCGAUACAAAACCAAGUGUUAACCCAACGGUUACAAACGUCAAUUUCAUCCGGAUUACCACCUGAUUCGCCACUUUUUUCUCAUGAAACACUGAAAAAAUUAUCUAGGAAGAGUGCAUCAUGCAUUGUUGGAUCAGAAAAUCAAAUUAUGAGAAGUAGAGUUGGAGCUAGAGUUGAGAUGGUAAGAAGUGGAAUCAUAGCUAGAUCUGGUCUGGUCAAGAAUAGGAUUCGAGAUGAGCACUUGGUAGCGGGUUUAGAGAUGAAGUAAGAAACAACUUCUGACUUGCUUACCGAGGGAGUUGGGGCCUGGGUUGCUGAGUGUAAGACUUAUUCAUACCGAUGUGAAGCCAGAAAACAUUUGUUUGUUUCUCUAAAGUACAUCAGGGUGCCCGAUUACAAGAUGCUUGCUACUACAGAAAUGUACCACUAUCUAGUUCUUUCAAGCUCAUUGGUUACAAAAUUAGGACCCUUUCUUCCGAAUCUCUAGAUAUGAAGAAGACGGGUGUAUUGCAGUUCAUGAAACUGAAGUGGUGAAGAAUUAUUUGAAUCCUGCUUGGAAGAGUACAAAUCUAAAUUUGCAACACUUUCAU
Papaver somniferum (opium poppy) is the source of this 659-nucleotide long non-coding RNA. RefSeq lists it as uncharacterized. The record is from RefSeq and is a predicted model, not a curated record. Lineage: Eukaryota; Viridiplantae; Streptophyta; Magnoliopsida; Ranunculales; Papaveraceae. The transcript has 3 exons.